Molecule: ribosomal RNA, 540 nt
Filed under: Triticum aestivum (bread wheat)
Lineage: Eukaryota; Viridiplantae; Streptophyta; Magnoliopsida; Poales; Poaceae
Description: partial small subunit ribosomal RNA
Source: RNAcentral
AUGGAGCUGCCCGACCCUAUGCCGGGCAACGAGGACCAAUUCGGGAAAUCCUCGGCGCCGUCGUGCCGUGACAUCAUCUGCGUCAACGGCGAUCAGAUCAGGCUCGUCGAGGUGGAUUACCAUCGGAGUGCCCAUGGUGUGAGCUUGGGUUAUGCCAGCACGGAUUUUGGAUGGAAGGCGAGGUCCUGGAGCCGGACGCUGUCUUCAGAGGAUUGGCACGACUGCUUUGAAGUAGACACGGAUGAGAUCCCCAUGACGGAUGAAGUAUACUCCUGUUUGUUCCCUGGUCCGCAGGAUGAUGAGAAAGUGGAUAAGCCAUCGUUGAGGCGGUUGAUCUGCUACGCUCCCACCCUGAGCAUUGAGGAUAAUAUUCUCUACAUGAUGUCCAAGCUGACCCUUGAUCCAAGGAACCCUGUGGCAUGGUUGGCUGCUGUUGACAUGGGAAACAAAGCACUGGAACUUGUCUCUGUUACUGAUGAAAUUGCGUCCCGUUGCAAUCAGAUCCAUCUCUCUUGUGGAUUCUCCAAGUUUCUCAGAUGA